GAGCAAAAGCGUGUUGUUUGAUGAUGUAAUUUUGCGUUGAAGGUUGGCAAUAGUAAUUUUUUUUUGCAGUUCUCCGUGCCUUGCCGAGUUUUGAUUCUGUAAACGGCCUCGAACAAACUGCGACAUG
RNAcentral lists this small nucleolar RNA (127 nucleotides) under Zostera marina. Lineage: Eukaryota; Viridiplantae; Streptophyta; Magnoliopsida; Alismatales; Zosteraceae. The record is from RNAcentral.